GACGAACGCUGGCGGCGCGCCUAACACAUGCAAGUCGAACGAGCGAGAGAGAGCUUGCGUUCUCGAGCGAGUGACGAACGGGUGAGUAACGCGUGAGGAACCUGCCACAAAGAGGGGGACAACAGUUGGAAACGACAGCUAAUACCGCAUAAGCCCACGGCUCGGCAUCGAGCAGGGGGAAAAGGGGCAAUCCGCUUUGGGAUGGCCUCGCGUCCGAUUAGCUAGUUGGGGGGGUAACGGCCCACCAAGGCGACGAUCGGUAGCUGGACUGAGAGGUUGAACGGCCACAUUGGGACUGAGACACGGCCCAGACUCCUACGGGAGGCAGCAGUGGGGAAUAUUGCACAAUGGGCGAAACCCUGAUGCAGCGACGCCGCGUGGAUGAAGAAGGUCUUAGGAUUGUAAACCCCUGUUGCUGGGGAAGAUAAUGACGGUACCCAACAAGGAAGUUACGGCUAACUCCGUG
Molecule: ribosomal RNA, 466 nt
Filed under: uncultured bacterium
Lineage: Bacteria
Description: partial 16S ribosomal RNA
Rfam family: Bacterial small subunit ribosomal RNA
Source: RNAcentral